RNAcentral lists this ribosomal RNA (464 nucleotides) under uncultured bacterium. RNAcentral's name for it is "partial 16S ribosomal RNA". It matches the Rfam family "Bacterial small subunit ribosomal RNA", at positions 28 to 507 of the family's 1533-position model. The record is from RNAcentral.
GACGAACGCUGGCGGCGUGCCUAACACAUGCAAGUCGAGCGAAUGAAGUUCCUUCGGGUAUGGCUUUAGCGGCGGACUGGUGAGUAACUCGUGUGCAACCUGCCUCCUAGAGGGGAAUAUCCUCCCUACAGGGAGAUUAAUACCGCAUAAGAUUGUAGUACCGCAUUAUACAGCAAUUUAAGGAGCAAUCCGCUUUGAGAUGGGCCCGCGUCGCAUUAGCUAGUUGGUGAGGUAAUGGCUCACCAAGGCGACGAUGCGUAGCCGACCUGAGAGGGUGAUCGGACACAGUGGGACUGAGACACGGCCCAGAAUCCUACGGGAGGCAGCAGUGGGGAAUAUUGCACAAUGGGGGAAACCCUGAUGCAGCAACGCCGCGUGAGUGAUGACGGCAUUCGGGAUGUAAAGCUCUGUCUUCAGGGACGAUAAUGACGGUACCUGAGGAGGAAGCCACGGCUAACUACGUG